UAUUUGAUUUAAAAUUUAAUUUUGAUCCAUUUUAAUAUUUAAAUUUAAAUGCGAUGAUAUGUUUAAUUCAAAAUUAUGAUAGAUUGAGAGAAUUUUUGAGAAAUGAUGAGAAAAGAUUAGAAGAGAUAUUUGAGAAAUGCGUAGAUAUUACGUGCGUGGAUAUUAUGUAUGAGAAAGGUUAAUUGGAUAUUAUAUAUAUAUAUAUAUAUGUGUGUGUGUGUGUGUGUGUGUGUGUGUGUGUGUGUGUGUGUUGUAUUAGAUUUUCUUGCUAGCUAAUUAAAGUGGAUUAAUAUUUUCUGAUUUAAUUUAUU
This 311-nucleotide long non-coding RNA is filed under the name Ananas comosus (pineapple). RNAcentral describes it as "long non-coding RNA (ACOM_LNC015790)". The record is from RNAcentral. Lineage: Eukaryota; Viridiplantae; Streptophyta; Magnoliopsida; Poales; Bromeliaceae.